Molecule: ribosomal RNA, 253 nt
Filed under: uncultured bacterium
Lineage: Bacteria
Description: partial 16S ribosomal RNA
Rfam family: Bacterial small subunit ribosomal RNA
Source: RNAcentral
UACGUAGGUGGCAAGCGUUGUCCGGAAUUAUUGGGCGUAAAGCGCGCGCAGGCGGUUCCUUAAGUCUGAUGUGAAAGCCCAUGGCUCAACCGUGGAGGGUCAUUGGAAACUGGGGGACUUGAGUGCAGAAGAGGAGAGCGGAAUUCCACGUGUAGCGGUGAAAUGCGUAGAGAUGUGGAGGAACACCAGUGGCGAAGGCGACUCACUGGACAGGUAUUGACGCUGAGGUGCGAAAGCGUGGGGAGCAAACAGG